AACGAACGCUGGCGGCAUGCCUAACACAUGCAAGUCGAACGAGACCUUCGGGUUUAGUGGCGCACGGGUGCGUAACGCGUGGGAACUUGCCCUUAGGUUCGGUAUAACUCCCCGUAAGGGGUGCUAAUACCGGAUAAUGUCUUCGGACCAAAGAUCUAUCGCUUUUGGAUGGGCCCGCGUUGGAUUAGCUAGUUGGUAGGGUAAAAGCCUACCAAGGCGACGAUCCAUAGCUGGUCUGAGAGGAUGAUACGCCACACUGGGACUGAGACACGGCCCAGAAUCCUACGGGAGGGAGCAGUGGGGAAUAUUGGACGAGGGGCGAAAGCCUGAUACAGCCAUGCCGCGUAAGUGAUGAAGGGCUUAGGGUUGUAAAGCUGUUUUACACGGGGUGAUAAUGACGGUACCGGGAGAAUAAGCACCGGCUAACUACGUG
RNAcentral lists this ribosomal RNA (433 nucleotides) under uncultured bacterium. RNAcentral's name for it is "partial 16S ribosomal RNA". It matches the Rfam family "Bacterial small subunit ribosomal RNA", at positions 29 to 507 of the family's 1533-position model. The record is from RNAcentral.